UCUAUUUUAAUCCGCCAUAAAUUUAAAAAAAGAAGAGCGUCUUAGUGAGAAGACCGUGAAAUAUCUCCGGGCCGUGGGUCCACCUGAGCUACUGCAAACUGAGCUACUACAAACGGAGAUACAAUCCACGUUGAAGACGCUUUGGGGGUUUCUAAUUAUGUGGACACAGAAUCCAGGGCGUCCAGGUUCAAGUUAAGGGCCCCGUAUAGCAGUUAUGGGGACGGCAAAGAUCCUCGGCCUCGGUCACGUUCACCUGUUUACGGGCGUGACGGACGUGAUGGACGCGAGCCUCGAGAAGGGCGUAAUGGACGUGAUGGACGUGAGCCUCGGGACAGCCGUGAUGGGAGGGACCCAGGUAGAGAGCCAAGGCCGGGUGGCCACUCUCGUGACCUUGAUUACCGAAGCUCAGAGAGCAGAGACAAGGACCUCAGAGGUGAUUCGCGGGAUCCUGCAUACAGCAGAAGUGACUAUGACCGAUACUACCGCAGUGGCAGUGGUGCUGAAGACUAUUACCGGAGGAAGGAUGAACCCUACAGGGACCCUUACAAAGAUCCCUGGAACGGACGGCGUGAACCAGAGGGUAUGUGUAAUUGUUUUAA
Morone saxatilis (striped sea-bass) is the source of this 599-nucleotide long non-coding RNA. RefSeq lists it as uncharacterized. The transcript has 4 exons. NCBI's taxonomy places the organism in Eukaryota, Metazoa, Chordata, Actinopteri, Moronidae. The record is from RefSeq and is a predicted model, not a curated record.